Non-coding RNA from Daphnia pulex (common water flea), 73 nucleotides. The record is from Rfam. Lineage: Eukaryota; Metazoa; Arthropoda; Branchiopoda; Diplostraca; Daphniidae.
GCCUCCAUAGCGCAGUAGGCAGCGCGCGAGUCUCAUAAUCUCGAGGUUGUGAGUUAGAACCUCACUCGGGGCA